GCUCACCACCUCCAAAAGCACACGGCCUGGACAGCCACUCCCUGAAGCAAAUCUGCCAUGUAUCCAUAUAUUCAUGCUGUACUGGGAGAAACAGUUGGAUAGGGGCAUGGUGUUUGUCUUCACAAAGCUCACAGGGGCAAGUCCAGCCAGUCAGCAAGCCACCUGAAUUUACAGGAGUGACAUUUCCACGUUAUUCAAAUUCAAAACAAGCCUACUCGGUGAACCUCAGCCCCAAGGAAUUCACAGUGCUCUACAUCGACUCCCAAUUUGCAAUUCUAGCAUCUCACUGAGACCAGGCAGUACAGAAAGAGACCUUGUGUUUUGUGACAAGUUCUUCUUUCAAGUCUUCAUGCUCAAAGAGAAUUGACUACAGAGUGUCAGGUGUCCUUCAGCUGAGAUUUAACAAGCAGUCAUCACAACUCCAUCUUUCUCCCUCACGAAACUGUUUCUCCUGAAUGCCCAUGAAAAUGUUAUCACAUAGGAAAUAUUUGUGAGACCUGAUCUCUAAUAAUUAUCAGCACUGAACGACUUUUGAAUGAAGAAAAUGG
This 548-nucleotide long non-coding RNA is filed under the name Homo sapiens (human). RNAcentral's name for it is "HSALNT0079072". The record is from RNAcentral. Lineage: Eukaryota; Metazoa; Chordata; Mammalia; Primates; Hominidae.